GUGGUUGUAGUUCAGUGGUAGAGCAUUUGCUUAGCAUGUGUGAGGCACUGGGUUCAAUUCUCAGCACCACA
Molecule: transfer RNA, 71 nt
Filed under: Marmota marmota marmota (Alpine marmot)
Lineage: Eukaryota; Metazoa; Chordata; Mammalia; Rodentia; Sciuridae
Also listed under: 2 other names
Rfam family: tRNA
About the family: Transfer RNA (tRNA) molecules are approximately 80 nucleotides in length. Their secondary structure includes four short double-helical elements and three loops (D, anti-codon, and T loops).
Source: Rfam by way of RNAcentral